AAUUCAAAGAAAUUGACGGGGGCCCGCACAAGCGGUGGAGUAUGUGGUUUANUUNGNUGCAACGCGAAGAACCUUACNNCAGGCNUGACAUCUAGGGAACCCUUNGGAAAUGAAGGGGUGCCCUUCGGGGAGCCCUAAGACAGGUGCUGCAUGGCNGUCGUCAGCUCGUGCCGUGAGGUGUUGGGUUAAGUCCCGCAACGAGCGCAACCCCUAUCUUCAGUUGCCAGCAGGUAAGGCUGGGCACUCUGGAGAGACCGCCCCGGUCAACGGGGAGGAAGGUGGGGACGACGUCAAGUCAUCAUGGCCCUUACGCCUGGGGCUACACACGUACUACAAUGGCGCGCACAAAGGGUAGCGAGACCGCGAGGUGGAGCCAAUCCCAAAAAACGCGUCCCAGUCCGGAUUGGAGUCUGCAACUCGACUCCAUGAAGUCGGAAUCGCUAGUAAUUCGAGAUCAGCAUGCCGCGGUGAAUGCGUUCCCGGGUCUUGUACACACCGCCCGUCACACCACGAGAGUUGGCAACACCCGAAGCCCGUGAGAGAACCGUAAGGACUCAGCGGUCGAAGGUGGGGCUAGUAAUUGGGGUGAAGUCGUAACAAGGUAA
RNAcentral lists this ribosomal RNA (605 nucleotides) under uncultured bacterium. RNAcentral's name for it is "bacterial SSU rRNA". It matches the Rfam family "Bacterial small subunit ribosomal RNA", at positions 898 to 1499 of the family's 1533-position model. The record is from RNAcentral.